This 371-nucleotide ribosomal RNA is filed under the name uncultured bacterium. RNAcentral describes it as "bacterial SSU rRNA". It matches the Rfam family "Bacterial small subunit ribosomal RNA", at positions 32 to 404 of the family's 1533-position model. The record is from RNAcentral.
AACGCUGGCGGCGUGCUUAACACAUGUAAGUCGAGCGGUAAGGCCCUUUCGGGGGUACACGAGCGGCGAACGGGUGAGUAACACGUGGGUGACCUGCCCUCAGCUCUGGGAUAAGCCUGGGAAACCGGGUCUAAUACUGGAUAUGACUCCAUGACGCAUGUUGUGGGGUGGAAAGCCUUGUGCGGCUGAGGAUGGGCCCGCGGCCUAUCAGCUUGUUGGUGGGGUNAUGGCCUACCAAGGCGACGACGGGUAGCCGGCCUGAGAGGGCGACCGGCCACACUGGGACUGAGACACGGCCCAGACUCCUACGGGAGGCAGCAGUGGGGAAUCUUGCGCAAUGGGCGGAAGCCUGACGCAGCGACGCCGCGUGA